AUCCUCAUUGCAAUCUGCCCCCACUGGGUGGGUAGAAAAAGAGCCAAUAUCCCCCUUUUACAGAUAGGAAAACUGUAGUAGAGAGGGAUCCCAUGACUCAUCUAAGUUCAGUGAAGCCAGGUGUUCCUGUUUCGAGUGGAGUUAUUUGGCCCAUAUCAGGAAGAUGAUAAGGAAUUGUUUGUUCUGGUGCAGUGAUUGCUUUGCUCAACUCAGUUUCCACGUGUGCUAACUUAGGCUCCAAAAUGUUCCAAAAAAGAAAGGAAAAUGCUACUGCAGAGGAUUUUAUGUAGAAUUUUAUGCUGAAAUUUGGAGCUAGAAGUUGACUUAAAGCACAUGGAGACCACUUCUCACAUCAUGGACAGGAAUCUGUGCCCCAGAGGGGGCCGUGUCAGCCAAGUGACUUGCAAGGAAGGGGCAGUUCCAACCUGGGAGAGGGGCUCCCAACUCGUAGAAGACCGAUCCAGCAUCUUCUGAUGGAUUCAGAAAUUACUUCCAGUCCAGGGGCUCUUUCUUCCAGCAAAUCCAGGACUGACUUAUUGUGGAGAUGACUGCCAGGUGACAACACUGGGGCACCUUCAGACGGGGGGUCGGUGGUGACUCCAAACCUCACCAGGGAUCCCGGCUUGCCACGGCCUCCACGUCCAGUGACAACAGAAAAGAAGGACGCACACUGAAAGGAGUGGUCAGCGUUUUGCUGACUGCCCUUCCUUCUUCAAGCCCAUUAGAGAAGUCCGAUCGCAGGUCCAUAGAGAGGGCACCUCCACGGCUAAUGCCCCGCCACUCAGGGAGCAGGACAGGGAGGCAGUGGGGAGGCCGCCCCCUCUUCUUCCACCAUCAGAGCCCAAAGCCAUCGUCCAUCAUGCCUUCUUUUCCAGUCUGCAUCUGCACAUCAACCCCCAUCCCUGGUCCCCGACACACAAUACUGAAUAAAUAUGCCUGGCCCGGGUCCAUGUGGGAAUUCUGGAGAGUUACGAUUGUUAUUUCCAGGAAUGCACAGACACCAGCAAAAAUUCAUUUCCCAGACGCAUGGCUAUUUUGAGAACCAAAUCUCCUGCUCUGUAGCAAUCAAACUGGGGGCUUUUCAAGUCUUGCUUUACAAUAGAAACCUGUUCUGCCUUCAGCUGCCUUUUACCUACAAGAAUUCAAUAAGAGAGAGAGAAGCCAUUAGAGUUUCCUUCCCCAUCUCCGCUUUGGCGCGACAUAUAUUCCUGGCCAACUUUCUCGACUCUACAUCUUAGUAAAUUCUUCCUGACAAUAGUUAGUGACAAGCAUGUCAGAAGCAACAAACUCCGUCAUCUAUAGGGCUUAUCAAUAAUUUAGUCUCUUCCCCCUCGUGAGAGCCUGUGUGUUUUACAAUAAUGAAAUAUAUGAUUUUAAAAAUAAAUAAUAGGCUGUUGUCAGCCCGAUUGUAGCUGCAAGUUAUGAAUGUGAUUGAUUGAUUGAACAUUUGACUUCAUCCGCUCGAGCAGGAUCAAAGAGAGACUC
Long non-coding RNA from Bubalus bubalis (water buffalo), 1485 nucleotides. RefSeq lists it as uncharacterized. Lineage: Eukaryota; Metazoa; Chordata; Mammalia; Artiodactyla; Bovidae. The record is from RefSeq and is a predicted model, not a curated record. The transcript has 2 exons.